RNAcentral lists this ribosomal RNA (250 nucleotides) under uncultured prokaryote. RNAcentral's name for it is "partial 16S ribosomal RNA". It matches the Rfam family "Bacterial small subunit ribosomal RNA", at positions 524 to 774 of the family's 1533-position model. The record is from RNAcentral.
UACGGAAGGUCAGGGCGUUAUCCGGAUUUAUUGGGUUUAAAGGGAGCGCAGGCGGGCUGUUAAGCCGGCUGUGAAAGUGCGGGGCCCAACCCCGUAUUGCGGUCGGAACUGAUGGUCUUGAGUGCACGCAGGGACGCUGGAAUUCACGGUGUAGCGGUGAAAUGCUUAGAUAUCGUGAAGAACUCCGAUGGCGAAGGCAGGUGUCCGGAGUGCUACUGACGCUGAGGCUCGAAAGUGCGGGUAUCGAACA